Molecule: transfer RNA, 77 nt
Filed under: Bartonella quintana str. Toulouse
Lineage: Bacteria; Pseudomonadati; Pseudomonadota; Alphaproteobacteria; Hyphomicrobiales; Bartonellaceae
Description: tRNA-Thr
Rfam family: tRNA
About the family: Transfer RNA (tRNA) molecules are approximately 80 nucleotides in length. Their secondary structure includes four short double-helical elements and three loops (D, anti-codon, and T loops).
Source: RNAcentral
UGCUGCGGUAGCUCAGUGGCAGAGCACUCCCUUGGUAAGGGAGAGGUCGAGAGUUCAAUCCUCUCUCGCAGCACCAU